CACAAAGACAACAGGACAUUGUGAUCCAGAGAAGAGGAGAUUGACUUUAAGAACAAGAUGGCUCCACUGUUAAUGUUUCUCAUGGCAGUGCUGGUGGCAGCAGAUGGUCUCUCAGCUCCAGCAGGGUCUGGCUCUCCCUCAGUGGUGUACUGUGAUUUUUUUACUUAUUGUUCUUAUGGGCAAAAAUGCUGUCGGACUCCACUUGGGCAUUGGACUUGCUGUGAAUAUGCUAUGGGUCAGUGCUGCAGUGAUGGUUUUCAUUGCUGCCCUAAUGGUUUUAACUGCGAUUCAACAUCAACCUUUUGUUUGAGUGGAUGGUUGAAACGACCAUCUUCUAUCCAGCUGGCAUCCAAAGCAACCCAGAAAACCCAGAUUGUGCGGCUGGAUAAAGCUAGAUCGCAGAAUCAGGUUGAGUCUGUAAAGUGUGAUGUGAAUGUCUACUGUCCCGUAGAGAUGGUCUGCUGCAAAACACAGACUGGCCAAUGGGGCUGCUGCAGCGGUCAAACAAACUAAUUUGAUUUAGUUUAUGUCUGUGGUUCUCAAACCUUUUCAACAACAGGGGCCUCAUUUAUAAAAUGCUGCAUAGAAACCACCCUACAUUUGAUCGUACGAUCAUACAAAAAUGCGUACGUGUGAUUCAUAAACCGAACAUACACACAGAAAACGCGCGUACCCCUUUCUUUCAGAUGUUAAAUCUAUUAAUCGCAAAUGAUCUUGAACUUGUGCGCAGCUGAGCAGUUUCAGAUCUCCGCCUUUAAACGACGCCUAAUUAAUGUCAUUCACAUAUAAAAGAGCACCUGUAAAUGUUUAAACCCUUUCGAGCAGCUAGAAUGGCUUAUAUUUUCAAAAACCUGCAGCAAUCGGACAAGCAAAAGUGGGUAUGUCUGCUCAGACCCUGACGUGGCGCUAAAAACCUUUCCAUGUCAUGCCGUGGAUUUUGGGUACGCACACUUUACGAUCAAAUCUGUGCGUACAGUACGCACGCUUUAUAAAUGAGGCCCCUGUGUGUAGGAUGCAUCCAUAGACAUAAAUAGAGACCACAUUGAUGACUGCUUUGGCAUGUUGCUGUGAUGUGCCAACAGACAGUAUCACCAUAUCGAUGAGAUCAAGUAAAUAGACUAAUUUUUCUGGAUUAAAACACAUUUACAUUUAUUUUUUAAUCAUCAAUUUUACUGGUUUACGAUCUAUAGGGAGUACAAAUACAUGUUAUCUACCAUAACCAUGUUGAUAUUAAAGGGGAAUUUUUUUAAAGAUAAAAUAAAUUUGGUGUGCCCAAUAUUUACUCUAUAUGACACCAAUCACUAUAAUAAAAUUUUAAUUUUAACCAAAAACGUAUUUUGUCUCUAACAUUUUUCUUCUGGUUACACAGAAUUAAUAAAUUCUGUAUUUCACUAAAUGUCAUAAAUCUGAGGGUCAAUGUUAUAAUGACAUAUAAACAAUUUGUGACCUGUUAUCAAAGACAGAGUCAAAAAGUAGGCCUCUUUACUUUUCGUCGAUGAUAUAUUACAUUUUUAUAUCUUUCCUGCACCUCUCUGUGUUCAAUGUAGAGCUGAUUUUGCAACAAUGAUGCAAAAUUGUGAGAAGCACAACAGAAAUCUGUUGAAUUGAAUUAUAUCCAAAAAGAUUUAAUAAACACAAUAUAAUGCAAUAAACUGGAAAAAAUGCUUUGUCAACUAAUUUUGCAUACAGUUGUAUUUUCUAAAUGUGUUUGUCUUAUAUUUAUCCAUCUGUGAAUGCUCGAUUAUUUACAUAACAUUACAUUUUUUAACCUCUCAUUACACGAUUCCAACUUUAAACAGAGAGGUUGUUAAAGCAGGCAGAAAAUGUAAGAAAUGAACAAAACGUUUAGAACGGUUUACAAAGAAAAUAAGACAAAGACAGACAUUUGUAGAUUUGUUUUUGGUCUUGUUUUGAAAUGUAAAGUUAUCAACAGUUGAUCAUUUCAGAAACUCAUUCCAUCUAUCUGGACAUCUAGCAAAGUUUCUGAUAUAAAAAUAAAACAAACAUUUUACAUACUCAAAAUAGUGUUUGAAAUGAACAAGACCCUUCACUCGUUCUCCGUUAACAUGUUUUUACACCGGUCCUGCCAAUGUCUUCAGUGUUUCAAUGUAUUACCAAUACUCAAUGGCAUUAAAAUAUUUGGGUGUAAUGAUGCACCACACAACCUCUAGCAUUGUGCUCUAAGCCCUU
Non-coding RNA from Paramisgurnus dabryanus, 2190 nucleotides. NCBI's taxonomy places the organism in Eukaryota, Metazoa, Chordata, Actinopteri, Cypriniformes, Cobitidae. The record is from RefSeq and is a predicted model, not a curated record.